This 201-nucleotide long non-coding RNA is filed under the name Elaeis guineensis (African oil palm). Its description in RNAcentral is "long non-coding RNA (EGUI_LNC016238)". The record is from RNAcentral. Lineage: Eukaryota; Viridiplantae; Streptophyta; Magnoliopsida; Arecales; Arecaceae.
UGUGCUUUGGAUAAAAUCCAAAAAUCAUAAUUGACAUCCUAUUCAUCAUAAUUGACAUCUUAACCAUAUCUACUGCCAAUAUUUAGGAGUCAUAAUUGAUCCAUCUGAUGGCUUAAUCAAUCCCGGUGGCUAUUUGUCCAUGCAACAAGGGAGGAAGCUGUGGGGAGGAACAAGUUGGGGGACUGGUAAAAGUAAAUUUUC